Molecule: unclassified non-coding RNA, 632 nt
Filed under: Polistes fuscatus (common paper wasp)
Lineage: Eukaryota; Metazoa; Arthropoda; Insecta; Hymenoptera; Vespidae
Description: putative uncharacterized protein BRD3OS, transcript variant X2
Source: RNAcentral
UAAAAUAAAACAAAAGAAAUGAAAGUAAGGAAGAGUAAGGUAGGGAAGAAAGGAAGGGUUGUUGAAUCGUUUCGUAGAAAUUCAACGUCAUAUUCUUUAUCUCUCGCGCGUUGUCUUUCCGUAUCGUGGAAUUCUCCGUUAUUAUUUGGAAUAAAACUAAACGGGGAAGAAAUGAAAGAUCCGGAAUACGAAGUCUUCGCAUCGAAGUCAUCAAAAGCGUUCGUGCCAAAGGCAAAAUGCAUGGCGGUCAGCCUCGAUACGCCUUCGCCAAUGAUAAGAUAAAAGAUCGCAGAAGGAAGCAAAGAAACGUAUCGAUAGUUUUUCCUCUCUUCUUUUUCUUAAAAUAAAUAAACAACAACAAAUAAAAGAGAGAGAGAGAGAUAGAUAGAGGAUAUUAUUUGAAUAGUUGCUAAUAGAAGAGAACUUCUCGAAUUCCUCGAUUGUACCGAUCAAUCUACGAGUACACAUUAAAACUACAGAUAAGAACAUCUGGAAAAUGAAAUUGAAGUGUUAAUGGAUCGAGUUACGAUAUACAAAGGCAAUACAUUCAAAGAUCGUAAAUGACUACACGAUAUGAACCACCUGAUCACGAUCAUGUAUUGACUAAAGAGGAUAUACGAAGAAGAUAUCAA